RNAcentral lists this ribosomal RNA (445 nucleotides) under uncultured bacterium. Its description in RNAcentral is "bacterial SSU rRNA". It matches the Rfam family "Bacterial small subunit ribosomal RNA", at positions 331 to 792 of the family's 1533-position model. The record is from RNAcentral.
CCAGACUCCUACGGGAGGCAGCAGUCGGGAAUAUUGCGCAAUGGAGGAAACUCUGACGCAGUGACGCCGCGUAUAGGAAGAAGGUCUUCGGAUUGUAAACUAUUGUCGUUAGGGAAGAAAAAGGACAGUACCUAAGGAGGAAGCUCCGGCUAACUACGUGCCAGCAGCCGCGGUAAUACGUAGGGAGCGAGCGUUAUCCGGAUUUAUUGGGUGUAAAGGGUGCGUAGACGGGAAUUUAAGUUAGUUGUGAAAUCCCUCGGCUCAACUGAGGAACUGCAACUAAAACUGGAUUUCUUGAGUGCUGGAGAGGAAAGCGGAAUUCCUAGUGUAGCGGUGAAAUGCGUAGAUAUUAGGAGGAACACCAGUGGCGAAGGCGGUCUGCUGGACAGCAACUGACGGUGAGGCGCGAAAGCGUGGGGAGCAAACAGGAUUAGAUACCCGAGUA